This 544-nucleotide ribosomal RNA is filed under the name uncultured bacterium. Its description in RNAcentral is "bacterial SSU rRNA". It matches the Rfam family "Bacterial small subunit ribosomal RNA", at positions 774 to 1314 of the family's 1533-position model. The record is from RNAcentral.
AGACAAUAGAUACCCAGGUAGUCCACGCCCUAAACGAUGUCGACUGGUUGUUGGGGGUUUGACACUCUCAGUAAACGAAAGCUAAACGCGUGAAGUCGACCGCCUGGGGAGUACGGCCGCAAGGUUAAAACUCAAAGGAAUUGACGGGGACCCGCACAAGCGGUGGAUUAUGUGGAUUAAUUCGAUGCAACGCGAAAAACCUUACCUACCCUUGACAUGUCCGGAAGGCUGCUGAAAGGCGGCUGUGCCCGAAAGGGAACUGGAACACAGGUGCUGCAUGGCUGUCGUCAGCUCGUGUCGUGAGAUGUUGGGUUAAGUCCCGCAACGAGCGCAACCCUUGUCAUUAGUUGCUACCCGCAAGGGAGCACUCUAAUGAGACUGCCGGUGACAAACCGGAGGAAGGUGGGGAUGACGUCAAGUCCUCAUGGCCCUUAUGGGUAGGGCUUCACACGUAAUACAAUGGCGCGUACAGAGGGUUGCCAAGGAGCGAUCUGGAGCCAAUCCCGUAAAGCGCGUCGUAGUCCGGAUUGCAGUCUGCAACUCG